GGUUGUGGCUCAGUGAUAGAGCGCUUGCCUAGCAUGUGUGAGGCACUGGGUUCAAUCCCCAACACCA
This 67-nucleotide transfer RNA is filed under the name Marmota monax (woodchuck). RNAcentral's name for it is "tRNA.Ala". The record is from RNAcentral. Lineage: Eukaryota; Metazoa; Chordata; Mammalia; Rodentia; Sciuridae.